UUAAGCGACUAAGCGUACACGGUGGAUGCCCUGGCAGUCAGAGGCGAUGAAGGACGUGCUAAUCUGCGAAAAGCGUCGGUAAGGUGAUAUGAACCGUUAUAACCGGCGAUGUCCGAAUGGGGAAACCCAGUGCAAUUCGUUGCACUAUCGUUAACUGAAUACAUAGGUUAACGAGGCGAACCGGGGGAACUGAAACAUCUAAGUACCCCGAGGAAAAGAAAUCAACCGAGAUUCCCCCAGUAGCGGCGAGCGAACGGGGAGCAGCCCAGAGUCUGAAUCAGCUUGUGUUAGUGGAACGGUCUGGAAAGUCCGACGGUACAGGUGAUAGUCCCGUACACCAAAAUGCACAGGUUGUGAACUCGAAGAGUAGGGCGGGACACGUGGUAUCCUGUCUGAAUAUGGGGACCAUCCUCCAAGGCUAAAUACUCCUGACUGACCGAUAGUGAACCAGUACCGUGAGGAAAGGCGAAAAGAACCCCGGCGAGGGAGUGAAAAGAACCUGAAACCGUGUACGUACAAGCAGUGGGAGCACCUUCGGGUGUGACUGCGUACCUUUUGUAUAAUGGGUCAGCGACUUAUAUUCUGUAGCAAGGUUAACCGUAUAGGGAGCCGCAGGGAAACCGAGUCUUAACUGGGCGUUAAGUUGCAGGGUAUAGACCCGAAACCCGGUGAUCAGCCAUGGGCAGGUUGAAGGUUGGGUAACACUAACUGGAGGACCGAACCGACUAAUGUUGAAAAUUAGCGGAUGACUUGUGGCUGGGGUGAAAGGCCAAUCAAACCGGGAGAUAGCUGGUUCUCCCGAAAGCUAUUUAGGUAGCGCCUCGUGAACUCAUCUUCGGGGGUAGAGCACUGUUUCGGCUAGGGGGUCAUCCCGACUUACCAACCCGAUGCAAACUACGAAUACCGAAGAAUGUUAUCACGGGAGACACACGGCGGGUGCUAACGUCCGUCGUGAAGAGGGAAACAACCCAGACCGCCAGCUAAGGUCCCAAAGUCAUGGUUAAGUGGGAAACGAUGUGGGAAGGCACAGACAGCCAGGAUGUUGGCUUAGAAGCAGCCAUCAUUUAAAGAAAGCGUAAUAGCUCACUGGUCGAGUCGGCCUGCGCGGAAGAUGUAACGGGCUAAACCAUGCACCGAAGCUGCGGCAGCGACACUAUGUGUUGUUGGGGAGCGUUCUGUAAGCCUGCGAAGGUGUGCUGUGAGGCAUGCUGGAGGUAUCAGAAGUGCGAAUGCUGACAUAAGUAACGAUAAAGCGGGUGAAAAGCCCGCUCGCCGGAAGACCAAGGGUUCCUGUCCAACGUUAAUCGGGGCAGGGUGAGUCGACCCCUAAGGCGAGGCCGAAAGGCGUAGUCGAUGGGAAACAGGUUAAUAUUCCUGUACUUGGUGUUACUGCGAAGGGGGGACGGAGAAGGCUAUGUUAGCCGGGCGACGGUUGUCCCGGUUUAAGCAUGUAGGCUGAUUGUCCAGGCAAAUCCGGAUAAUCAAGGCUGAGGUGUGAUGACGAGGCACUACGGUGCUGAAGUAACAAAUGCCCUGCUUCCAGGAAAAGCCUCUAAGCAUCAGGUAACAUUAAAUCGUACCCCAAACCGACACAGGUGGUCAGGUAGAGAAUACCAAGGCGCUUGAGAGAACUCGGGUGAAGGAACUAGGCAAAAUGGUGCCGUAACUUCGGGAGAAGGCACGCUGGUGUGUAGGUGAAGUCCCUGCGGAUGGAGCUGAGACCAGUCGAAGAUACCAGCUGGCUGCAACUGUUUAUUAAAAACACAGCACUGUGCAAACACGAAAGUGGACGUAUACGGUGUGACGCCUGCCCGGUGCCGGAAGGUUAAUUGAUGGGGUUAUCCGUAAGGAGAAGCUCUUGAUCGAAGCCCCGGUAAACGGCGGCCGUAACUAUAACGGUCCUAAGGUAGCGAAAUUCCUUGUCGGGUAAGUUCCGACCUGCACGAAUGGCGUAAUGAUGGCCAGGCUGUCUCCACCCGAGACUCAGUGAAAUUGAACUCGCUGUGAAGAUGCAGUGUACCCGCGGCAAGACGGAAAGACCCCGUGAACCUUUACUAUAGCUUGACACUGAACAUUGAGCCUUGAUGUGUAGGAUAGGUGGGAGGCUUUGAAGCGUGGACGCCAGUCUGCGUGGAGCCAACCUGAAAUACCACCCUUUAAUGUUUGAUGUUCUAACGUUGGCCCCUGACCGGGGUUGCGGACAGUGUCUGGUGGGUAGUUUGACUGGGGCGGUCUCCUCCCAAAGCGUAACGGAGGAGCACGAAUGUUAGCUAAUCCGGUCGGACAUCAGGAGGUUAGUGCAAUGGCAUAAGCUAGCUUGACUGCGAGCGUGACGGCGCGAGCAGGUGCGAAAGCAGGUCAUAGUGAUCCGGUGGUUCUGAAUGGAAGGGCCAUCGCUCAACGGAUAAAAGGUACUCCGGGAUAACAGGCUGAUACCGCCCAAGAGUUCAUAUCGACGGCGGUGUUUGGCACCUCGAUGUCGGCUCAUCACAUCCUGGGGCUGAAGUAGGUCCCAAGGGUAUGGCUGUUCGCCAUUUAAAGUGGUACGCGAGCUGGGUUUAGAACGUCGUGAGACAGUUCGGUCCCUAUCUGCCGUGGGCGCUGGAGAAUUGAGGGGGGCUGCUCCUAGUACGAGAGGACCGGAGUGGACGCAUCACUGGUGUUCGGGUUGUCAUGCCAAUGGCACUGCCCGGUAGCUAAAUGCGGAAGAGAUAAGUGCUGAAAGCAUCUAAGCACGAAACUUGCCCCGAGAUGAGUUCUCCCUGAGACUUUAAGUCUCCUGAAGGAACGUUGAAGACGACGACGUUGAUAGGCCGGGUGUGUAAGCGCAGCGAUGCGUUGAGCUAACCGGUACUAAUGAACCGUGAGGCUUAACCU
RNAcentral lists this ribosomal RNA (2877 nucleotides) under Klebsiella pneumoniae. Its description in RNAcentral is "bacterial LSU rRNA". It matches the Rfam family "Bacterial large subunit ribosomal RNA". The record is from RNAcentral. Lineage: Bacteria; Pseudomonadati; Pseudomonadota; Gammaproteobacteria; Enterobacterales; Enterobacteriaceae.